Molecule: long non-coding RNA, 962 nt
Filed under: Marmota monax (woodchuck)
Lineage: Eukaryota; Metazoa; Chordata; Mammalia; Rodentia; Sciuridae
Source: RNAcentral
CUUGAACUUGUGAUCCUCCUGACUCAGUCUCCUAAUUUGCUGGGAUUACAGGAGUGUGCUAUCACACCUGGCCAGAAACACUUAAAGAGGCACAUAUAGAAUAGUGUGAUGGGUCCCCAAGAAUGUAUUACUCAGACUUAACAAACAUCCGCUCUAGGCUAAUGGCAGAAUACCCAAGACAGGCCACCUAUCUCUGAGGCCUCCGUGUCUGGCAAUGGCAUUAGGCAAGCACAGGCAUAAUGUCCAUAAGGGAAAAGACUCAAAGGACAACACACUGUUUAUUGUUAUGAGUAUUGAUUUGUCCAAAUUAGGAUCAAAACAAGGCCUACCCAGGGUAUUUGAUAUGUCUUUUAAAGAAUCCAUAACUCUAUAUCUUCCUUUUUAUGUAUCGAAAAAUGGGUUAUUGUCUUGUAAAUUUUCCCAUGUUUUGAUUUGGUUGCUUAUUUUCUUCAGGUUCCUCUUGCUGCCAUAUUUCCUGUACAUUUGCAGUUACAUGUAGAGACUUAAUUAUAACGAUCCAGGGUCAGCUGAUUCAACGUGAACACUUCGUAGGUGAUUCUGUGUACUCGAGUUGCAUCAUAUCUAAGGACCUUCAUAUGUGGUGGUCACCCUUUCUGUGGGGUCAGCUGAUCUAUCCCACCACCCUGUCACCUUUCAUUGUUAGCAGCUGUGUCAGGGAUCUCUAAGAUUACCCUCAGGUUCCAUGAUUCACUGGAUGGAUUUACAGAACUAGAAAAGCUGUUAGACUCAGUAUUCCUGCUUACUGUAGAGAAAGAGUACAGAUUAAAGUCAGCGAAAGGAAAAGCACAUGAGUGAAGUCUAAGAGAAAACACACCCAAGCUUCUGAUUGUCCCCCCUGUAUUAACCCUGUGUUUCUGAUGCCUUGUCAUGGAGGGGAGGAGGGACUUGGCUGGCUGACCCUGAAGAUACUGCCCUCCCAGGGCAAGCUAGCUGUUUCCUAC